Molecule: long non-coding RNA, 1473 nt
Organism: Pongo pygmaeus (Bornean orangutan)
Lineage: Eukaryota; Metazoa; Chordata; Mammalia; Primates; Hominidae
Exons: 2
Source: RefSeq, a predicted model, not a curated record
ACCCACCUAACACAAUAUCCAGAAGUAGGUGGCAGGAGGAACGUGCAGCUGCUUGAGCAAGUCGUCCAGGAUCCAGCUCUUCCAGAUUCCUGCGGCACCAUCCUCCACACGUGGCAUUCUUCCUCAUGAUUAUAAGAUAUUUCCUUGGACAAAUGGUCUCUUCUCCUUCCUCUGGGAACACAAAGCCUGAAUGAUCUGCAGACCCAGGAGAGGAGAGCGGGGCUUAGAACACCCAGCGCCUAAAGACAGAACAUCUUUCAUUUAACUGUGUGACUUGAAGGUGAGCAGCGUGACCUCAGAUAUACAUCAGUGCCUCCCAGCACAGGUGGGUCUGCCUUGGGACUGACGGGGCUGCACAUCUGGAGGAGCUAACAUCUGGACGACCACACCCAUGGAAUGAGAUGCUGUCAUUGGCUAGCACUGGGGCGUUGGGUCAUUUCUUUUCUUCCUACUCCUUUCAUUUUACUUGUUAAAUUUCAGCUCUUUCUGAAAAUAAACAAGCGACAAUUUUAGCAGAGAUGGAAUGGGAGAAUUGUUCCUGAUUCCUGUUCCAUCUUCCAGACUCAUCAUUACCAGCCAAAGUAAUAUGAAAUUAAAACUGAGGCUUGGCUGUCCACUGCAACAAGCAGAAAUCUAAGACUAUAAUACUUAAAACACAACCUCUUACAGAAAUAAAAAUCUCUGCAAAGCCACAGAGCUCAGAAAUAGCAUUUGGUUCUGCAAAACUACUGCUUUUUUUUUCUUCUGCCAGAUCAAACCCCACAGAGAACUGCGGCAUUCUUGCUACUGUCCUUGCAAAUGGAAAAAGAAGGGGGCAGUAAAAUUAGGAAAGUGAGAAUAAUGUUCUAAGAAUGGAAAAUGCAAAGGUUAAAAAUUUGAAGAGGAAUGUUGCAUUUAGAAGCGAGGAAUUCAGGAGGGAGAACACUGUCAAAACAAUCAUGGCACCAGGCUUGCUUGGCAAUAUGGCUUAUCUCAGGAGACACUUGCCUCCAGGCCUCCAAACUGGCUACAUUUUGCCCCAGAAAUUCUUCACUUCACUCUAAAAUAGAGCUUGUAAAAGAAGUUGGAAGUAACUUUUAUGUGGUUGUUUUCUAAAAAUCUUUUUUCUCCAACAGAUGAAUCUCAAACACUUUGCUCUAAGCAGCAAAAGGUUCAAAUGUUAUCGGAUUGUUUAUAACAUUCAGUAACCUUCUGAGCCCCCAGUGUUUAUAGAAGUGAAUUGGGAGUAUUCAAGAACAGGUUGUCUGUCUAGUGGAAUUUCAAAUUUUCCAUAUUUGCUUAAUUUUGGAACCAAAUGUCAGAGAUGCUACAGCACCAAUAAGGCAGGAUCAUGUUGGAGCUCAUGCCUCAUUGGAUAAAAGCUAUUUGGAGCAAAAGAUUGGGCUUCUUCUGCUUACAAACCUGGGAUGGCAUUGGGCUUCAGAAAGGAUAACUAGAAAUGGUUCAAUGGUUAUUAAACAUAUUGAACAAACA